AUGAAGAAUAUAGUUUAUGUGAAUUAAAUGUUAACAUUGUAAUUAUGUAUACGUUUAAUGAUGUUACAUAGCUUACUAUAGCAUAUUUUAGUAUUUUACUAAACUGUAUUUGUUUUUGCUGCAGAGCCAAGUGAGAACAUCACAAACAUCACCGACCACAACAUCACAGGACCUGGUGCUAUAGGUCUGGGUCCAGAUCUCUUUUCCCCUGCAAACAUUAUCCAACUAUUGAAGGAGGAAGCCAAAGUGAGGCUCAUAAUGAAUUGUCUAGGCCUCACCGUUUCCCUCAUGGUAGGAGGAGUUGCUGCAGGAAUGUGGUAUCUUUUUUAUUAUAAGAAAAAGAAACCCUGUAUGAAGAAGAAAGAUGCUGUGGUGAAAAUGGAGGAAGGACCUUUAAACAAAGGUUAAUAUCCCUCCAGACUCAAAUGUUGAUAUGGGAGAAGUUACAUAAGAUCUGUAUCCUGAUCUCCCAAUUACUGUGAACCAACUCAACUGUGUUACAGGACCUUUAAAUUAUCUAAUUUAAAGAAAUGUACAAUAAAUACUUAAUGCUUGUAACAUUAAA
Molecule: long non-coding RNA, 565 nt
Organism: Bombina bombina (fire-bellied toad)
Lineage: Eukaryota; Metazoa; Chordata; Amphibia; Anura; Bombinatoridae
Exons: 3
Source: RefSeq, a predicted model, not a curated record